GACGAACGCUGGCGGCGUGCUUAACACAUGCAAGUCGAACGGAAAGGCCCUGCUUUUGUGGGGUGCUCGAGUGGCGAACGGGUGAGUAACCCGUGAGUAACCUGCCCUUGACUUUGGGAUAACUUCAGGAAACUGGGGCUAAUACCGGAUAGGAGCUCCUGCUGCAUGGUGGGGGUUGGAAAGUUUCGGCGGUUGGGGAUGGACUCGCGGCUUAUCAGCUUGUUGGUGGGGUAGUGGCUUACCAAGGCUUUGACGGGUAGCCGGCCUGAGAGGGUGAACGGGCACAUUGGGACUGAGAUACGGCCCAGACUCCUACGUGAGGCAGCAGUGGGGAGUAUUGCACAAUGGGCGGAAGCCUGAUGCGGCAACGCCGCGUGCGUGAUGACGGCCUUCGGGUUGUAAACCGCUUUCGCCUGUGACGAAGCGUGAGUGACGGUAAUGGGUAAAGAAGCACCGGCUAACUACGUG
This 468-nucleotide ribosomal RNA is filed under the name uncultured bacterium. RNAcentral's name for it is "partial 16S ribosomal RNA". It matches the Rfam family "Bacterial small subunit ribosomal RNA", at positions 28 to 507 of the family's 1533-position model. The record is from RNAcentral.